GAUGAACGCUGGCGGCGUGCCUAAUACAUGCAAGUCGAGCGAACAGACGAGGAGCUUGCUCCUCUGACGUUAGCGGCGGACGGGUGAGUAACACGUGGAUAACCUACCUAUAAGACUGGGAUAACUUCGGGAAACCGGAGCUAAUACCGGAUAAUAUAUUGAACCGCAUGGUUCAAUAGUGAAAGACGGUUUUGCUGUCACUUAUAGAUGGAUCCGCGCCGCAUUAGCUAGUUGGUAAGGUAACGGCUUACCAAGGCGACGAUGCGUAGCCGACCUGUGAGGGUGAUCGGCCACACUGGAACUGAGACACGGUCCAGACUCCUACGGGAGGCAGCAGUAGGGAAUCUUCCGCAAUGGGCGAAAGCUUGACGGAGCAACGCCGCGUGAGUGAUGAAGGUCUUCGGAUCGUAAAACUCUGUUAUUAGGGAAGAACAAAUGUGUAAGUAACUAUGCACGUCUUGACGGUACCUAAUCAGAAAGCCACGGCUAACUACGUG
RNAcentral lists this ribosomal RNA (497 nucleotides) under uncultured bacterium. Its description in RNAcentral is "partial 16S ribosomal RNA". It matches the Rfam family "Bacterial small subunit ribosomal RNA", at positions 28 to 507 of the family's 1533-position model. The record is from RNAcentral.